This 253-nucleotide ribosomal RNA is filed under the name uncultured bacterium. RNAcentral's name for it is "partial 16S ribosomal RNA". It matches the Rfam family "Bacterial small subunit ribosomal RNA", at positions 524 to 776 of the family's 1533-position model. The record is from RNAcentral.
UACGGAGGGUGCAAGCGUUAAUCGGAAUUACUGGGCGUAAAGCGCACGUAGGUGGUUUGUUAAGCCAGCUGUGAAAUCCCCGGGCUCAACCUGGGAAUUGCGGUUGGAACUGGCAAGCUAGAGUAGGGUAGAGGGGUGUGGAAUUCCAGGUGUAGCGGUGAAAUGCGUAGAUAUCUGGAGGAACAUCAGUGGCGAAGGCGACACCCUGGACUCAUACUGACACUGAGGUGCGAAAGCGUGGGGAGCAAACAGG